GAAUUCGCCCUUAGAGUUUGAUCCUGGCUCAGGAUGAACGCUGGCGGCGUGCCUAAUACAUGCAAGUCGAACGGACUAAAUAAGAGCUUGCUCUUAUGCGGUCAGUGGCGAAUGGGUGAGUAAUACGUAAGCAACCUACCUUAAUGACUGGGAUAACCUUUGGAAACGAAGGCUAAUACCGGAUAAAGGAAGUGAGGGCAUCUUCACUUCAUAAAAGUUGGGAUACAACACAUUGAGAUGGGCUUAUGGCGCAUUAGUUAGUUGGUGAGGUAACGGCUCACCAAGACGAUGAUGCGUAGCCGACCUGAGAGGGUGACCGGCCACACUGGGACUGAGACACGGCCCAGACUCCUACGGGAGGCAGCAGUGGGGAAUAUUGCGCAAUGGGGGGAACCCUGACGCAGCAACGCCGCGUGAAGGAUGAAGGCUUUCGGGUUGUAAACUUCUUUGAUUGGGGACGAAUAAUGACUGUACCCAAAAAACAAGCCACGGCUAACUACGUGCCAGCAGCCGCGGUAAUACGUAGGUGGCAAGCGUUGUCCGGAAUUACUGGGUGUAAAGGGCGUGUAGGCGGGGAUGCAAGUCAGAUGUGAAAUUCCGGGGCUCAACUCCGGAGCUGCAUCUGAAACUGUAUCUCUUGAGUGUUGGAGAGGAAAGUGGAAUUCCUAGUGUAGCGGUGAAAUGCGUAGAGAUUAGGAGGAACACCAGUGGCGAAGGCGGCUUUCUGGACAAUAACUGACGCUGAGGCGCGAAAGCGUGGGGAGCAAACAGGAGUAGAUACCCUGGUAGUCCACGCCGUAAACGAUGGAUACUAGGUGUAGGAGGUAUCGUCCCCUUCUGUGCCGGAGUUAACACAAUAAGUAUCCCACCCGGGGAGUACGGCCGCAAGGUUGAAAUUCAAAGGAAAUGACGGGGGCCCGCACAAGCAGUGGAGUACGUGGUUUAAUUUGAAGCAACGCGAAGAACCUUACCAGGGCUUGACAUCCCUCGAAAGCAGUAGAGAUACAGAUUAUUUUCUGAGCAAGGAGACAGGUGGUGCAUGGUUGUCGUCAGCUCGUGUCGUGAGAUGUUGGGUUAAGUCCCGCAACGAGCGCAACCCCCGUUGUUAGUUGCCAUCAUUAAGUUGGGCACUCUAGCGAGACUGCCGGUGACAAAUCGGAGGAAGGUGGGGGGGACGUCAAACCAUCAUGCCCCUUAUGUCUUGGGCUACACACGUACUACAAUGGCUGUUACAGAGGGAAGGUAAUUCGCGAGGAGGAGCAAACCCCUAAAGGCAGCCCCAGUUCGGAUUGCAGGCUGAAACUCGCCUGCAUGAAGUCGGAAUUGCUAGUAAUGGCAGGUCAGCAUACUGCCGUGAAUAAAUUCCCGGGCCUUGUACACACCGCCCGUCA
Molecule: ribosomal RNA, 1391 nt
Filed under: uncultured bacterium
Lineage: Bacteria
Description: bacterial SSU rRNA
Rfam family: Bacterial small subunit ribosomal RNA
Source: RNAcentral